RNAcentral lists this ribosomal RNA (253 nucleotides) under uncultured bacterium. RNAcentral describes it as "partial 16S ribosomal RNA". It matches the Rfam family "Bacterial small subunit ribosomal RNA", at positions 524 to 776 of the family's 1533-position model. The record is from RNAcentral.
GACGGAGGGUGCUAGCGUUGUUCGGAAUCACUGGGCGUAAAGGGCGCGUAGGCGGCUGGGACAGUCGGCUGUGAAAGCCCGGGGCUCAACCCCGGAGGUGCAGCCGAGACUGCCCGGCUGGAGGCCGGAAGAGGAGGGUGGAAUACCCAGUGUAGAGGUGAAAUUCGUAGAUAUUGGGUGGAACACCGGUGGCGAAAGCGGCUCUCUGGUCCGGACCUGACGCUGAGGAGCGAAAGCGUGGGGAGCAAACAGG